CCCCCGGGACCCCGAAGCACCUCGGGAAGUGUAGUCCUGUCCCGGAGGGCAGGAGGACAAUGCCGGGGGUUGCAGGGCGCCUGGGGAGCAUCCCCAGCCCACAGGUCGCGGGCGUGGCCCUUCCCUCACUGUGUGCGUUCUUGCCAGCAUCCUCAGGUUCCCGAGCCGGUGACCAGGGACCUGUGCGGGAAAGCGUGGGGCUCUGGAAUUUGAUCGCCUUUGGUCUAACAAAGCCACUCAGCUUAAAUGCAGACUCCAUCUGUUCUUCCAAGCCUUCUGCGGAUGAUAGGGGAGGAAGAGCAAUAGCCGUUCUAGACUACACAGAUUGCAGUUAAGUGUUGCUUUUGUUCUCAGAGCACGUGCUCCCCAGAGCAGCACUGGGUUCUUUUUAAAAAUCGAAAAAGGAGCCACAAGGUCACUGUUCUCCCUGACCUGGAUAGCUCAGAACCUCAGCAAAGGCACAAAGGAAAUUGGUCUGACCGUGCCUUAGAAUAACUGGCCCUUUCUCUCACAAAAAGGGGAAAAAAAUAAAUGAAAUGAACAUGGUCCCCGCCUCCUCCCAUUCUCUGACCAAGACCGUGUCCUCGGUUGGUGGUCAAUACACCAAGACACCUGCUUUGAGAUCUUGACUAAGCAGAAGAGAUAUCUUUAUUUUAUUAAUGAGCUGCAUCUCCCCAAAUCAAGAAACAAAUGUGACCAACCUUCCUGAAACAACAGUCCUAAUUUAGAAAGACUCUCAUGCCUAGUUAGUCACCAGGGAUGUGCCAGAGAUAAAAUACAACUAAGGGGUGCCCAAGACAAUAAAAACUGGAUCAUACAAGCAGCAGCACACUACACAAAGCAAACAAUUAGCAAUGCGCUGUUGCCUGAAAUAUGCUUGUUGCGGCAUUUUUUCCAACAAUCGCCCUUGUGUGGGGUCGGCCUCCCCCCCAAGCCAAUCGAAGUGGUUUUCACUUAGCCUGUGAGCAGGACCAGGAAUAAUUCAGAUACUGAGCCUUGAAAGGCUUCUUCUCAGACCAAACUUAGCUUCAAAAUGGCUAGGUGCUUCCGUCUGUCAUUUUUCUGAACAGAAUCUCAGACAUCAUUAGAAAAGUUGGAGAAGGAUGGGCAUGAGACCCCUCAGGAAAGCGACAGAUAGGCAGGCAACACAAAUGAGCAAGGAACCCAAGCCCAAGAGGUCCUUACCCACUGAACAGGCUUUUUAUCUUGAAGUCUUUGUAUUUGAUCUGGAGGUUCACAGAGGAAGGUCCCACUCAUUUAAUGCAUUUUUUUAAGUACAAUAAAUUGCCACACAAAAGUCUCACA
This 1305-nucleotide long non-coding RNA is filed under the name Homo sapiens (human). RNAcentral describes it as "HSALNT0290920". Lineage: Eukaryota; Metazoa; Chordata; Mammalia; Primates; Hominidae. The record is from RNAcentral.